This 301-nucleotide ribosomal RNA is filed under the name uncultured bacterium. Its description in RNAcentral is "partial 16S ribosomal RNA". It matches the Rfam family "Bacterial small subunit ribosomal RNA", at positions 509 to 807 of the family's 1533-position model. The record is from RNAcentral.
CAGCAGCCGCGGUAAUACGAAGGGUGCAAGCGUUAAUCGGAAUUACUGGGCGUAAAGCGUGCGUAGGCGGUUUGUUAAGUCUGUUGUGAAAUCCCCGGGCUCAACCUGGGAAUGGCAAUGGAUACUGGCAAGCUAGAGUGUGUCAGAGGAUGGUGGAAUUCCCGGUGUAGCGGUGAAGUGCGUAGAGAUCGGGAGGAACAUCAUUGGCGAAGGCGGCUUACUGGCUCAUACUGGACGCUGAGGUGCGAAAGCGUGGGGAGCAAACAGGAUUAGAUACCCGAGUAGUCCCUGUCUCUUAUAC